UGAGGAAUAUUGGUCAAUGGACGAGAGUCUGAACCAGCCAAGUCGCGUGAAGGAUGAAGGUCUUAUGGAUUGUAAACUUCUUUUAUACGGGAAUAAAAAGAGCCACGUGUGGCUUAUUGCAUGUACCGUACGAAUAAGGAUCGGCUAACUCCGUGCCAGCAGCCGCGGUAAUACGGAGGAUCCAAGCGUUAUCCGGAUUUAUUGGGUUUAAAGGGUGCGUAGGCGGUCAUUUAAGUCAGCGUUGAAAGUUUUCGGCUCAACCGGAAAAUUGGCAUUGAAACUGGAUGACUUGAGUGUAAAUGAAGUGGGCGGAAUUCGUUGUGUAGCGGUGAAAUGCAUAGAUAUAACGAAGAACUCCGAUUGCGAAGGCAGCUCACUAACAUACAACUGACGCUGAGGCACGAAAGCGUGGGGAUCAAACA
RNAcentral lists this ribosomal RNA (422 nucleotides) under uncultured Porphyromonadaceae bacterium. RNAcentral describes it as "partial 16S ribosomal RNA". It matches the Rfam family "Bacterial small subunit ribosomal RNA", at positions 355 to 774 of the family's 1533-position model. Lineage: Bacteria; Pseudomonadati; Bacteroidota; Bacteroidia; Bacteroidales; Porphyromonadaceae. The record is from RNAcentral.